AAAACUUUCGUUCAACUUCUCAAGGGGAAAAAUCUGUACUAGUGAAAUAUGGGAGGUGGUAAGGAUGAUUCUGAUAAGGGAAUCUUUAGCAAUAUAGCGGGAGGUAUGAGUCAUCUUGCUGGUGGUCAUCACGGACAUCCAGGACAGUAUCCUCCACAGCACGGUGGUUACCCUCCGCAGCAAGGGUAUCCUCCUCAAGGGUACCCUCCUCAACAAGGGUACCCUCCACAGCAAGGGUAUCCACCGCAGGGUUAUCCUCCGCAAGGAGGAUAUCCUCCACAACAAGGAUAUCCUCCACAAGGGUAUCCUCCUGCAGGUCAUCAUGGUGCUCCACAGCAUCAUUCAGGACAUGGUGGCAUGGGGGUAAUGUUAGCUGGAGGUGCUGCAGCUGCAGCUGCUGCUUAUGGCGCUCAUAAGCUGUCUCACGGACACGGUGGAUCUCACAUGGGAGGACAUGGUAUGCCAUUUGUUGGAGGCGCCAGUCAUUAUGGAGGAGGCAAGUUUAAGCAUGGCAAGGGA
Molecule: unclassified non-coding RNA, 519 nt
Filed under: Hevea brasiliensis (rubber tree)
Lineage: Eukaryota; Viridiplantae; Streptophyta; Magnoliopsida; Malpighiales; Euphorbiaceae
Source: RNAcentral